UACGUAGGGUGCGAGCGUUGUCCGGAAUUAUUGGGCGUAAAGAGCUCGUAGGCGGUUUGUCGCGUCGGGAGUGAAAACCUACAGCUUAACUGUGGGCUUGCUUUCGAUACGGGCAGACUAGAGGUAUGCAGGGGAGAACGGAAUUCCUGGUGUAGCGGUGAAAUGCGCAGAUAUCAGGAGGAACACCGGUGGCGAAGGCGGUUCUCUGGGCAUUACCUGACGCUGAGGAGCGAAAGUGUGGGGAGCGAACAGG
Molecule: ribosomal RNA, 253 nt
Filed under: uncultured bacterium
Lineage: Bacteria
Description: partial 16S ribosomal RNA
Rfam family: Bacterial small subunit ribosomal RNA
Source: RNAcentral